Molecule: long non-coding RNA, 776 nt
Organism: Lolium rigidum
Lineage: Eukaryota; Viridiplantae; Streptophyta; Magnoliopsida; Poales; Poaceae
Exons: 3
Source: RefSeq, a predicted model, not a curated record
CUCCACCCAGGCCGGAUCGACGCGCCACCCGCCUAUCUCCGCGUCGGCCUCACCCGCACCCGCCUCUAUUACAGCAAGGACCUUGCGAACGCUCAAUAAAAUCAUGUCUUUUUCGCCGCCGCCAACAUCCAGGCGACCAACGCCCAAACAUCCCUGACGGAUACCACAACCACGCCCCGUGCUGCCGGACUGCUACCUCCCUGACAACGUUCUGAAGCUGCCGGCACGGCUUCCCAGGCCCUGGAGCACCACACUGCCUGGCGUGGUCCUAGACUGGUGCUGCUCUCCCAUGCCGGCGAGCCAUCGUCGCCUAUCCGCACACUGGUAUUAGCAUCGGCAAAUAUCCAUCUGAGAACAAGGAUUUAGACUAGAUGAUGCAUCACUUGGAAGGAAGCAAUAGCUGCUGCAGCCUGAUGCAUGACUUGUCAGGAAGGAAGCUGUAAGACCCCGGGGAAAAGAAGAUGGCAUAUACACGCCUUGCUCCAGCCAGCUCUAUGCACAUCUUUCUUUUUAGCGCCUUAAUUAUCUAUGCGAUCAUAUGGUUAUAAUGCAUGAGCAGCUGAGGUUUCAGAUGCCAGAGGAUCUUCUAACACAGCGGCAUGUGUUUUAUUUAUGUAACCUCCUGGGAGAAACUUCGGUUCUGAUCGAUGUGCACCAGCUUGUCCUUGACGUUGAUUGUUGGGUAGUUUUUACGUUGAUGAUUAAACUUGUGGUAGUAGAGUUGAUUGUACUCCCUCGGUUACCUAUUAAUUGACUCUUGUCAGAGUGUUUUGUAU